UUUGCAGUAAAGUAGCGAAAAGCUGUGAACCCCUCACGUGGAGAUGUGGGAGGCAGACACGGGCUGGGGAGACAGCAGAGGGGGGUGCAGGUGUGGACUGGGGCCAAGAGCCACCCUGAGGAGUGGUUCUCCUGGGGAGCCACAGACGCCUCAGGGCACACAGCUCUCGCACGAUGGACGCCCUGCUUGUCCACGCGAGAGGUGAGUUAUCAGGAUCCCCGUGCCGGAAGCUUCUGAGCCAGUGCAGAACCCCACCUCCUUGCUCGGGACAAUUUCCUGGCAACCAGGGAUUCAGAAGCAGGGGAUUUCUGGUUAGGCCAUGAGCCACAGGGAUAUUUUUCACAGGAGCUUCUGGGGGCCGCCUGCCAGGACUGCCCUCAAGGGACACCAAGUGACCGAGACAUGAGGGCGUGCUGACUCCUGCGGUCAGCACAUGGGCCCAGUUUCCCCUCGUGACCUGCCCACAGCGGGGCCCACCGCCUCAGGUGGUGGCUCACCAGGACCUGUGGAAGGGCCAGUCCAGGGGGUCCCAGGGGAUGCGGGCCACCUGGCCCUGAGGCAAGGCCACAGCCUUUCCCCUGGGGGUGCACGGGGCACCUGAUCUGGUCCUGCUGCCCGGGACACAGCCCCGCGGCCUCCCGUGGGGGCAGCCACCAGUCACCCUCACGACUCAGGUCACGUGGGGUGGGGAAGGCCCAGGGUGGGGGCCGCCCACGGGGGUGCUGCCUGGAGGCUUCCCCGGGGCUGGGGUCCCCUGGCUGGCCUGUGCAUGGGAUGUAAGGGCAUCUCCCUUCUCAGGGGAAUGAGGGGAGGCUUGGCUGAGAGUAAAAGUCAGCGCCUAUGCAGCCAGCAGGGUCCUGAAACCGAGGGCGCUGUGAGGAGUCUAGGCUACCGCGGGAAAACAAAACUCGGGCCUCCCCAAGGCAGGUGACCCAGAAAGUCCUUCAAACAUACUCUGGGUCCCUAGUUUUUGUCUCCAAAUACUUCAGCUCCUUGUCUGUGCCGUCAGGGGUGGGUUUUCUGCUGGGGGUGAACCUGGCAAACAGCUGCUGUCCUGGUGGGAGCUCUCCUCUGCGAGCUGGGGUCCCCGGAGGCAGGCCCCCCCAGAGGCAGAGUCCCCCGGAGGCAGGGCCCCCCCAGAGACAGGGUCCUCCGGAGGCAGGGCCUCCGCAGAGACAAGGUACCCCGGAGGUAGGGCCCCCCCUAGAGACAGAGUCUCCCGGAGGCAGGCCCCCUCCCAGAGGCAGGUCCCCCCAGAGAUAGGGUCCUCCAGAGGCAGGGCCCCUGCAGAGACAAGGUACCCUGUAGGUAGGGCCCCCCUAGAGACAGAUUCCCCCGGAGGCAGGGCCCCCCAGAGACAGGGUCCCCCGGAGGCAGGCACUGUGGGAAGGUGCGUGAGUGUGAGCAGGGGCGGCAGGGCCACGGGUUGGGGGCCAGGACUGUGGGAAUUGUCCACAGCCUUUCUGGAAUCAAAACACUGGCAAAUGUCAAAAAGUGCGUAAUUUGUUUUACUGAAACAGGCUGCUUAUUUAUGUUUGGAAGGCCGGCUUCAAGGACCCGUCUGGGCCCUCCUUAGAUGAUAAUGUCAACAGAAACACAAACAGAUGGGGGGUGGGGCGGUCUGGGGGCUCCUCGGAAUGAAGUGCAGACAGGAAUUCGUGCUGGUCGCAGGCAGAGAAACUCCACGUGACCCCUGCUCUCUGGACCUGGCCACCGCGGUGAAUGUUCCCAGCUGAGUUCCAGAACUUGCAGAGAGCAGAUCGGAUCCAGCCCAAGAGAACCGGAAGGGGGUGGGCUGUCCUUUAUCCCGUGUUCCCUCAGCCUGAUGGGCGGUAGCUGGGGUGCAACCCCCACCCCCACCCCGACGCCCAGGGUGGCCGUGGAUUCAGGCAAGGCCCCGCCGCUGUGGCCGCGGCUUGUCUCGCUCCCUCCCUCACCCCAGAUGGUGUGGCUGAUGCUGUCCCUCUGUGUCACGCCGUCAACGAGGUACUAUUUUCAUGUUCGUGGACGGACGAGGAACCUGAGGCACAGUGCGUCUGAGUAGCCCGCGCGAGGUCUCACCCUGCUGGGAUUAGCUCGUAACUUGGUUUUCGCGCAUCCAGGUGACAAUGUGUCUGAUGACACAGAAGAAAGAUCACCAGCACAAAGUCACUGAACACUUCAAAAUGAUGACACGAAUGCAUUUUCAAGAAUAACCCAUCUCAAAUUCUGUGGCGGGGCGCCUGGGGCGUUCGGUGCGUUGAGCGUCAGACUCUUGACUUCGGCUCAGGUCCCGAUCUCAAGGUUGUGGGAUCCGGCCCCACGUGGGGCUCUGCUCUGAGGGUGCAAAGCCUGCUUGGGGUGCCCACUCCCUCCCUCU
Felis catus (domestic cat) is the source of this 2359-nucleotide long non-coding RNA. RefSeq lists it as uncharacterized. The record is from RefSeq and is a predicted model, not a curated record. The transcript is spliced from 3 exons. NCBI's taxonomy places the organism in Eukaryota, Metazoa, Chordata, Mammalia, Carnivora, Felidae.